Molecule: ribosomal RNA, 446 nt
Filed under: uncultured bacterium
Lineage: Bacteria
Description: bacterial SSU rRNA
Rfam family: Bacterial small subunit ribosomal RNA
Source: RNAcentral
CCAGACUCCUACGGGAGGCAGCAGUGGGGAAUAUUGGGCAAUGGGCGCAAGCCUGACCCAGCAACGCCGCGUGAAGGAAGAAGGCUUUCGGGUUGUAAACUUCUUUUAAGAGGGAAGAGCAGAAGACGGUACCUCUUGAAUAAGCCACGGCUAACUACGUGCCAGCAGCCGCGGUAAUACGUAGGUGGCAAGCGUUGUCCGGAUUUACUGGGUGUAAAGGGCGUGUAGGCGGGGAAGCAAGUCAGAUGUGAAAACCACGGGCUCAACCUGUGGCCUGCAUUUGAAACUGUUUUUCUUGAGUACUGGAGAGGCAGACGGAAUUCCUAGUGUAGCGGUGAAAUGCGUAGAUAUUAGGAGGAACACCAGUGGCGAAGGCGGCUUACUGGACUGUAACUGACGUUGAGGCUCGAAAGCGUGGGGAGCAAACAGGAUUAGAUACCCCCGUA